CCCCUCUCAGGAUCACACCUGGAGAGUUUCCAGUACUCUACCAGUCUCGGCUAGGGGAGGGAGAGGCAAGUAGGGGCCUAACCCAUUCCAUUCCUAGCUUGGGCAGUGGCUAGCAAGUGGAAGGCAAUCUGUUACAAGU
This is a small nucleolar RNA of Tachyglossus aculeatus (Australian echidna), 139 nucleotides long. Lineage: Eukaryota; Metazoa; Chordata; Mammalia; Monotremata; Tachyglossidae. The record is from RefSeq and is a predicted model, not a curated record.